CGAACGGGUGAGUAACACGUAACCAACCUACCCUCGAGAUCGGAAUAACCACUGGAAACGGUGGGUAAUGCCGGAUGGACCCUGGAGAAGGCAUCUUCACCAGGAUAAACGGUGGCUCUGCUGCUGUUCGGGGAGGGGGUUGCGGCCUAUCAGCUUGUUGGUGGGGUAACGGCCUACCAAGGCAAUGACGGGUAGCCGGUCUGAGAGGACGAUCGGCCACACUGGGACUGAGACACUGCCCAG
RNAcentral lists this ribosomal RNA (243 nucleotides) under uncultured bacterium. RNAcentral's name for it is "partial 16S ribosomal RNA". It matches the Rfam family "Bacterial small subunit ribosomal RNA", at positions 99 to 334 of the family's 1533-position model. The record is from RNAcentral.